This 1159-nucleotide long non-coding RNA is filed under the name Cricetulus griseus (Chinese hamster). RNAcentral describes it as "lncRNA (ENSCGRG00015033699.1)". The record is from RNAcentral. Lineage: Eukaryota; Metazoa; Chordata; Mammalia; Rodentia; Cricetidae.
CACACGCUGAGCCUGCAGCAGUGGCCAUGCACAUCCUGGCAAGGACAGUGUCCCUGGAGGCUGGAGUGUGAGUCUUUGUUUGUUUGAGACAGGGUUUCUCUAAGUAGCCCUGGCUGUUCUGGAAUUAGCUCCGUAGACCAGGCUGGUCUUGAUUGAAUCACAGGGAUCCACAUGCCUCUGCCUCCUGAGUGCUGGCAUUAAAGGUGUGUGCCACCACUACCCAGUGUGAGUCAUUCUUAGUAAGAAAGGAAGACUCAGAGCACUGGGGUUUAGACUGUGAGGAAGAUAAUCUAAAUAAAAACAGGAAGAGGAAUAGCCAAGAAAGUCAUUUACCCAAUGAUGAGUCAGAAAUGAGCAGAACUCUCCAGACCACAGCCAGAGCUCUUCUGGGAACAUUGAGCUGCCCCAGCAGCUGCCCUCAUGUCUACACCUGUGGUGUGUGCACCUGUAUGCACUGUGCCAGCCUAUUUCAGGGGCUCUGCCUUUGAAGAGAUCAAGGCCCGGAGGGCUUCAUGGAGAAGGUGAAGUAGGAAGCUGGACUCUGGGAGAUGCUCAAGUAGAAGAAAGUAAUGUGCAUGGCAGCUCCUAGGUGCACAAUGAAGAUAAUAAGAGUCCUUGCUUCAGAACUGUCGUGAAGAUUGCCUGAGAACACAGCUUGAGGAUACUCUAGGGCAAGUGUGGUAAGAUGGCUCAGCAGGAAAAGGUGCUUGCACUACAAGCCUGGAAAUCUGAGUUCAAUCCCUGGAACCCAGGCAUGGAUGGGCCUCUCUGGUCAGAGGUGUGAGGGAGAUCAGAGAAGGAGUGUGCUGGCUGGCUGGCAGAGUAUGGGCACCCUCUGACAUUCUCCAGCACAGCCAGCUUGGCCCAAGUAGGUCAGGGCAGUUUCCUGGCCUGUAGCCUGAGUUCCCUCCCACUCACUUGUAUUUAUGGCCAAGAUCUGCCUGGAGCCCUCUUACCUUCAAAGGCUGAGGACACUGCUUGCUCAGACUCUACUCAAGGACUCUGCAGGGCAGGGCAGGGCAGGGCAGGGCAGGGCUGGAUGGCUUCCUGAGGGUACAGCUGACUUGGAUGGCCCACAGAGAGCUCAGCCCUGGGCAAGCCAUUUUGGGCAGGGACUGCACCUGUAAGCUCCACCCUGCAGUUUCUGUCCCACCUGCCC